RNAcentral lists this ribosomal RNA (547 nucleotides) under uncultured bacterium. Its description in RNAcentral is "bacterial SSU rRNA". It matches the Rfam family "Bacterial small subunit ribosomal RNA", at positions 355 to 896 of the family's 1533-position model. The record is from RNAcentral.
UGGGGAAUAUUGCGCAAUGGGGGGAACCCUGACGCAGCCAUGCCGCGUAAAUGAAGAAGGCCUUAGGGUUGUAAAGUUCUUUCGGUAUUGAGGAAGGUUGAUGUGUUAAUAGCACAUCAAAUUGACGUUAAAUACAGAAGAAGCACCGGCUAACUCCGUGCCAGCAGCCGCGGUAAUACGGAGGGUGCGAGCGUUAAUCGGAAUAACUGGGCGUAAAGGGCACGCAGGCGGUUAUUUAAGUGAGGUGUGAAAGCCCCGGGCUUAACCUGGGAAUUGCAUUUCAGACUGGGUAACUAGAGUACUUUAGGGAGGGGUAGAAUUCCACGUGUAGCGGUGAAAUGCGUAGAGAUGUGGAGGAAUACCGAAGGCGAAGGCAGCCCCUUGGGAAUGUACUGACGCUCAUGUGCGAAAGCGUGGGGAGCAAACAGGAUUAGAUACCCUGGUAGUCCACGCUGUAAACGCUGUCGAUUUGGGGGUUGGGGUUUAACUCUGGCGCCCGUAGCUAACGUGAUAAAUCGACCGCCUGGGGAGUACGGCCGCAAGGUUA